RNAcentral lists this long non-coding RNA (2388 nucleotides) under Ananas comosus (pineapple). RNAcentral's name for it is "long non-coding RNA (ACOM_LNC014956)". Lineage: Eukaryota; Viridiplantae; Streptophyta; Magnoliopsida; Poales; Bromeliaceae. The record is from RNAcentral.
CAACCCAGGGAUCCUCAUGUUCCCAAUUCAUAAGUUUAUAAAUAGUUCCCUGUAAACGAAGCGGAUUCUACAAAGUUUAACUUUCUUACGUUAUUCCUAUAAAAGUCCUAAUGUUUUCAAAUAUUUCUCUAAUGUUAGGAUUUGUUAGAAAAUUUUAAUUAAUUAUAGGUAAAAUAUUUAAUCCUAAUUAGUCAAUGAAGUAAAUUGAUAGUUUUACCUCUCUUAUAUUAUACUGUCUUCUCUUAAUCAAAAUUUCGGUAAGAAAACUCUUCUUUCUCUCCCUCUUCCUCUCUCUCCUUUAUUCUAGUUCCGAACACGUAACUAGAAUUUUUUCGUCUCCAUUAAUCCACGAACAGUGUUGCUUUUUUAUUCAAUUUUCUUUAUGAUUUUUUUUAUUUUACUCAAAAGAAAAUGUUGAGGAGUAAAAGAGUGAGAGAAGAGGUUGCAACAAUGGUGGAUUGGGUUGGAUCUUAAAGAAAAAGAAGAUGAGGAAAACGAUGACCAUUAAAAGUUUUUUGGGGGACAUUUUUGCACGAUUAUAACAGUUGGAGCUUUUGUAGGGACAUUUGUGAUGACAAAAUUGUUAUUUCACUUAUCUACUAUUAAAAAAUAAACAGUUAUCUAAUGGUAAGAAAGUAGAGAGACAAAUAUAAAUAUUACUGAAUUUUUAUAGAGAUAUAAGAGUUAAAAGUUGAAUUUUGUAAGAAUAUAUUUGCUAUUCGCUAUGUUUACAGGGAGACGAAUGCAAUUAACCCUAUUUAGAAUGUAUAAACACGAGUGUUGUUUAUACAGUAAUAAAAGGUUCUUAGAGGCUGAGGGAUGAUAUCAGAGACUAUUCACAUAUUUCAGUACUCUCCCAUUUAUCAUACAUCUGUAUUUUUAUAUGUUUUAUUCUUUGGUUUAUCUAAAGAUAAAGAUUUGCUCACGCAAAUCAUGGCGGAGAUUCACGAGAUGAGGAGACAGCUUAUUUGAUUUGAUGUUUCCCACGCCAUAUAUAUAUAUAUAUAUAGAGAGAGAGAGAGAGAGAGAGAGAGAGAGAGAAUUAGGCUACUAUACUAUCUAUAGUACCGAGCUCUAGUAUUAUAGUUUUAUUUUCGAUCUUAGGGUGUUCAAAUUAAUGAUCCACACCGUUAAAUAUGAUCUAGGGUAUAUGAAGUUCUUAGGAAUAAAAUUUUAGUUUUUUUCGAUAUCGUUUAUUUAGUAAAUAAAUUAUAUCAAAAUGGACGGUGGAAAUUGAAUAAUCUUUGAAAUUUGAGUAUAGAACUUUUAAAUUCAAGAUCAAGAAUGUUAACCUUAAUCUAGAUAGUUUAAAGUAUUUUCUAUCAAAAUUUGAAGAAAUUUAGAUUCUUCUACACCGUUAAACUCCAAACUCGCAAUAAUAGUCAUUGAAAAUUGAUAAUUUUGAAAUGAUUUCACUACAACAAAAACGGUCUAUAGCGACACUUUUAAAUGUAGGUACAUGUCAAAAAAGUGCUGCUAGCUAAAAUUACCGACACUUUUAAAAAGUGUUGCUAUAUGUGGGGUCCCUAGAUAUAUAGUGACAGUUAAAGAGUGUCGCUAUAACCUAAAAGAGUGCUGCUAAUUUACCAACACUUAUUUAAGCAUUUAGCAACCGCCGAAACUCUAUCUCGUUGGCUGCGGUGGCGGAGGAGAACGACUGUAAAGGCCCUUCGUCUAGAAUUUCAGUGGAUUGAGUGAAGAGAGAAGAAAAGAUGGUAAUUGAUUUUUCUUUUCUUUUUUUUCUUUUCUGUUUGUAAUCGGGCCAAAUGGACUGGGUGUGGUGGGUUGAGUAGAGUAAUCUUUUAUUUUUGGUUGGAUUGGGCUUUCUAUUUAGGCAUUAGUAGAUGUAUUUUUAAGUUUUAGCAUAAAUGGGACACUUACUCAAAAGUGUCCCAAACAUGUGUCCCUAUAACCUAAUUCUAUUGUAGUGUUUGAUCAUAAAGUUAACUAUAUCAAAAAAAUAUAAAAUUUUAUUUCUAAAAACUUUAAAAACCCUAGAUCGGUUUUAACGAUGUGAAUCGUUGAUUUGAACGCCAUAAGAUCGAAAACGAGACUAUAGUACCGGAGCCCCGGUACUAUAGAUAGUAUAGGAGACUAGCUCUAUAUAUAUAUAUAUAUAGAGAGAGAGAGAGAGAGAGAGAGAAAGAGAGAAAGAGAGAAAGAACUAGGCUAGAAUACUAUCAAUAGCACCAAGCACUUAGUACUAUUAGUUUUUUAGCCCUUGGAUUGAUAAAUGUGUGGUUAGGAUGGUAUGAGCCCCCAAAGGUUGAGUAAGUGAUUGGUUGAAUAGUAUAAUCUAACGGAUAAAACUAGUCAAAGGGUUAAUCUAGCGGUAGAAAACUCGAUAGCACCAAAUCCUUGGUGCUAUCGAUAGUAUCUCAGCCGGAC